RNAcentral lists this ribosomal RNA (396 nucleotides) under uncultured bacterium. RNAcentral describes it as "partial 16S ribosomal RNA". It matches the Rfam family "Bacterial small subunit ribosomal RNA", at positions 338 to 731 of the family's 1533-position model. The record is from RNAcentral.
CCUACGGGUGGCAGCAGUGAGGAAUAUUGGUCAAUGGAGGCAACUCUGAACCAGCCAAGUAGCGUGAAGGAUGACUGCCCUAUGGGUUGUAAACUUCUUUUAUGCGGGGAUAAACUGAGUCACGUGUGGCUUUUUUCAGGUACCGUAUGAAUAAGGACCGGCUAAUUCCGUGCCAGCAGCCGCGGUAAUACGGAAGCUCCGGGCGUUAUCCGGAUUUAUUGGGUUUAAAGGGAGCGUAGGGGGCUUCUUAAGUGAGUUGUGAAAGGUUGGGGCUCAACCGUAGAACUGCAGGUGACACUGGGAGGCUUGAGUACAGUAGAGGUAGGCGGAAGUCGUGGUGUAGCGGUGAAAUGCUUAGAUAUCACGAAGAACUCCGAUUGCGAAGGCAGCUUACUG